Long non-coding RNA from Passer domesticus (house sparrow), 961 nucleotides. RefSeq lists it as uncharacterized. The record is from RefSeq and is a predicted model, not a curated record. The transcript has 3 exons. Lineage: Eukaryota; Metazoa; Chordata; Aves; Passeriformes; Passeridae.
CAGCACAGUGGGCAGCAGCCCUGCACUGCCUGCUAAACACUGCUGUAAAUGGUACAGGUGCUCUGAGGACUGAAUUUCAUACAUUUAUGGGGCUCUAAUAACACCUCAUUAUGUUCAUAGCUGCAGUCAGCUCGGCUCCACGACGUAGGUGGAACUGUCACAACAUGUUCUGGUUGCUCCUAGUGUUCGAGCACAUCCUGAUGUAGGCCCGCUCUGAUUAGAAGCAGAUAGGUGGAGGAUUAUUCCAGAGGAUGAUCCCCAAAAUAAUGGAGAUGACGUGAAGGAGACAAUUGCCUUGCUCACUCCCUUCUCUGUUUUUACCCUACAUUCUCAUGUCCAGUCCACAAAAAAAAGAUAACACUUGUGGGUUCCUUGAUCUUGAACAAAGGCUUGAUUUCCAUAUUCACAAACAGAAAUAUUUUCAGAUUGUUGUGAAGAUUUUGGUGGGAAUUGCUGUGGUUUACCUCCAGAAGCAGAGUUUGGGUAAGGCACUGAGCUAUAUUAGUGAGAGAAGCUGAAGGGUUUGAGUUUCCUCAGCAGAGUCCAGAGGAGUUGGCAGUGAGCAGGAAGAGCUGAGAUGGUACUACUGCGUUUGGGCAGGAAACAGUGAGUUAUUCACAAGAGCAUUUGGGUGACAGCUGGUACAAAUAGAUAUAAAGGGUGUGACAGCUAAUUCACUGGGCAAAAAUGCCUGAAGAAUCAGGUGAGAAAUCCAAUGAAUCCUUUGCGUGAAGGAGUAGCAUGAAGCAGAGAGGCCUUGAAGGAAGAGCAGUAUGUGGAGAAGCAAAAAGCUGAGGAAAAUCUUCAUUGAAAAGUUGAAAAAAGAUGAAGCACAAGAACAAAUAUGGGACUGAGACUGAGAGAAAAUGUUCACGAGAACACAGCAAAAAAGUAGAAAGGAGGUCGAUACUCAGGACCUGAGGAGCCCUUUGAAGGACAGAGCUGUGUAGAGAGCUUUGUU